AGAGUUUGAUUCUGGCUCAGAAUGAACGCUGGCGGCGUGCUUAACACAUGCAAGUCGAACGGAAUCCAAGGAGCUUGCUCUGGAAGAUUUAGUGGCGAACGGGUGAGUAUCACGUGAGCAACCUGCCCCGAAGACUGGGAUAACACCGGGAAACCGGUGCUAAUACUGGAUGCCUUCCAAUGACCGCAUGGUCGAUGGAAGAAAUGUUUUUUCGCUUCGGGAGGGGCUCGCGGUCCAUCAGCUUGUUGGCGGGGUAAUGGCCCACCAAGGCAUCGACGGAUAGCUGGUCUGAGAGGACGAUCAGCCACACUGGAACUGAGACACGGUCCAGACUCCUACGGGAGGCAGCAGUGGGGAAUCUUGCGCAAUGGACGAAAGUCUGACGCAGCAACGCCGCGUGAGGGACGAAGGCUUUCUGAGUUGUAAACCUCUUUCGACAGGGACGAUAAUGACGGUACCUGUAGAAGAAGCACCGGCCAACUAUGUGCCAGCAGCCGCGGUGAUACAUAGGGUGCGAGCGUUAUUCGGAUUUAUUGGGCGUAAAGAGCUCGUAGGCGGUUCGAUAAGUCGGGUGUUAAAUCCACAGGCUCAACCUGUGGCAGCCAUCCGAAACUGUCGUGACUAGAGUUUGGUAGGGGAUCACGGAAUUCCUGGUGUAGCGGUGGAAUGCGCAGAUAUCAGGAGGAACACCAGCAGCGAAGGCGGUGAUCUGGGCCAAUACUGACGCUGAGGAGCGAAAGCGUGGGGAGCGAACAGGAUUAGAUACCCUGGUAGUCCACGCCGUAAACGGUGGGCACUAGGUGUGGGGACUUUUCAACGGUUUCCGCGCCGCAGCUAACGCAUUAAGUGCCCCGCCUGGGGAGUACGGUCGCAAGACUAAAACUCAAAGAAAUUGACGGGGGCCCGCACAAGCAGCGGAGCAUGUGGCUUAAUUCGAUGCAACGCGAAAAACCUUACCUAGAUUUGACAUGCUGGGAAAAGCC
RNAcentral lists this ribosomal RNA (983 nucleotides) under Acidimicrobiaceae bacterium. RNAcentral's name for it is "bacterial SSU rRNA". It matches the Rfam family "Bacterial small subunit ribosomal RNA", at positions 8 to 1000 of the family's 1533-position model. The record is from RNAcentral. Lineage: Bacteria; Bacillati; Actinomycetota; Acidimicrobiia; Acidimicrobiales; Acidimicrobiaceae.